CAGAAGGCAUAAGAUUUCCUAUUCUUGGAAGCCUCUAGAAGAAAGCCUUUACAAGGACCUUUACACUCUAAAUAUGAGAGAAAGAGAGAGGAAGAGGGGAUCUCCUAGGGAAUAAGCAGGAAAGACCUAAAUAUUCUCAGUUUCAAAAUUCCCCAUACAAAUUAGUCUUAAGCAUAUCUCUAUUUCUAUUUAGGUCUCAUCACUUCACAUUGUGCAGAAAAACACCAUGGACAAAGGUGUGAAGAAGACAUUCCCCAGUGAGACUGGUGGAACAACCCAGUAUAGGACACAGACAUCCAGUCUACCUAAAGAUGAGGGAAAAGGGAGAACAUCUCAGCCUAUCAGUCAUAUGCCAAACUCAUUUGAUGUUCUAGAUUCUCUCCUGGUCAAAUUAAGUGAGGAAAAGAAUGAACCGAGUCACAACCAAGGGAUUGUAAAUUCAAGACCACUCCCAUCAUCCCUGGAUCCCCAUCAUGCAUUGAUACCCAUGGAUGACAAACAGAAAAUUAGUGGAAAAGUCCUUGCUAAUUUUCCACAAAACUUUAGCCUAGAGGAAGGGAAGUCAAAACAGCAUGGAGUUCUUGGAUCCACUUUGACUGACUACAGAAGUACAGAGAAACCUGAGCCAGAUGUACCAGUCAUAGCGAAUAUAAGUCUACUCCACCCAAGUAGUCAUCUAGAAAUCCUGCCACCCUCACAAACUGACCUGUCCCAUGAGCAACCAAAAGAAUCAAAGGUGAAAGUGACAAGGAAGAAGAAAAGGAAAGAUAAUGAGGAUGGAAAGUUUCUCAAAAGAAAGAGAGAAGAGUCUUUUCAAAAAACAGUGCAAUGCCUCUUAGAAAUGGUUGAAAUGAUGGAAAACAUUGUACAGAAUUUGAUCAGCAGACAAAGAAAAUCUAAACCUUGAGACCACUUGCAACUCCUGCCUACAUUUUGCCUCACCAUAUCCUCCAUAAGUCCUCUGGAAAGCCUACAGAAUAUUUGCUGUUGCGGUGAUUUCAGUUUGAGUAAAGUCUGCAAGGGAAAAUAUCAUGUCCUGUGUUAAUGGUACAUUAGAAAGGGG
RNAcentral lists this long non-coding RNA (1063 nucleotides) under Phascolarctos cinereus (koala). RNAcentral's name for it is "lncRNA (ENSPCIG00000015760.2)". The record is from RNAcentral. Lineage: Eukaryota; Metazoa; Chordata; Mammalia; Diprotodontia; Phascolarctidae.